This 253-nucleotide ribosomal RNA is filed under the name uncultured bacterium. RNAcentral describes it as "partial 16S ribosomal RNA". It matches the Rfam family "Bacterial small subunit ribosomal RNA", at positions 524 to 776 of the family's 1533-position model. The record is from RNAcentral.
UACGUAGGGUGCAAGCGUUGUCCGGAAUUAUUGGGCGUAAAGAGCUCGUAGGCGGUCUGUCGCGUCGGAUGUGAAAAUCCAGGGCUCAACCCUGGACCUGCAUUCGAUACGGGCAGACUAGAGUUCGGUAGGGGAGACUGGAAUUCCUGGUGUAGCGGUGAAAUGCGCAGAUAUCAGGAGGAACACCGGUGGCGAAGGCGGGUCUCUGGGCCGAAACUGACGCUGAGGAGCGAAAGCGUGGGGAGCAAACAGG